This 105-nucleotide small nuclear RNA is filed under the name Myotis brandtii (Brandt's bat). The record is from RNAcentral. Lineage: Eukaryota; Metazoa; Chordata; Mammalia; Chiroptera; Vespertilionidae.
GCCCUCAUGGGCAGCACAUAUAUUAAAACUGGAAUGAUACAGAGAAGAUUAGCAUGGCCCCUGCACAAGGAUAACACAUAAAUUCAUGAAUCAUUUAUAUUUUUU